Homo sapiens (human) is the source of this 758-nucleotide long non-coding RNA. NCBI's taxonomy places the organism in Eukaryota, Metazoa, Chordata, Mammalia, Primates, Hominidae. The record is from Ensembl.
AUCCCAGCUACUCGGGAGGCUGAGGCAGGAGAAUCACUUGAACCCGGGAGGCAGAGGUUGCAGUGAGCCGAGAUCGCACCCCUGCACUCCAGCCUGGGUGACAGAGCAAGACUCCAUCUCAAAAAAAAUAAAGGAAAUAUGCGUCGUUGGAUGCUGUAUGACAAUCAAGCUACUUAUAACAAACAAAAUUGAGAAUGAAGGAUUAUGAUCCAAACUCAGCUGGGCCUCCCCUCCCUGCCCCAGGAUUGUGGAGUGAGAACGUUGCAGCAGGAGAGAACAACGCAGCAAAGCACAGCAGGGGAACCGGAAAUGCUCACCUUUUGACAGGGUACUUUUAGUUCUGGGGCCUUAUCUUAAGGAUAUUCCAACAUAUACAAAAAGAUUCAUGCACAGAGAUAUGUACUUUAGUAUUAUUUACCAUAGGAAAAAAGUUGGAAACAAUACAUUUUAUGUUCUGUAAAAUGAAAGAACAGUUAAAUAAAUCAUGGCUCUAAGACGACUCCAGGGCUGUGUACGGAAGUUCAGGGACAGAAUCAGUUGAGGCUGUUCCACCUGAGCCUAAGCUUCCUCUGCUGUAUGUCGGGAAUCAGGUGGGGGCCAAGCGAGAUCACCACAGUGCAGGCCAGUGUGCAGGGCACAGGUGGGCACCAGGGAGGGGACGCCGCACAGCCCCAUGCUCUCGCCAAAAACGUGCAGCACAAUUUGGAAGAAAACAUUUCCAUCUGUUAAUAAAGAGCAAGGGCCUCUGGUCAUAAGUG